RNAcentral lists this ribosomal RNA (1372 nucleotides) under uncultured bacterium. RNAcentral's name for it is "bacterial SSU rRNA". It matches the Rfam family "Bacterial small subunit ribosomal RNA", at positions 28 to 1381 of the family's 1533-position model. The record is from RNAcentral.
GAUGAACGCUGGCGGCGUGCCUAAUACAUGCAAGUCGAGCGAACGGACGAGAAGCUUGCUUUUCUGAUGUUAGCGGCGGACGGGUGAGUAACACGUGGAUAACCUACCUAUAAGACUGGGAUAACUUCGGGAAACCGGAGCUAAUACCGGAUAAUAUUUUGAACCGCAUGGUUCAAAAGUGAAAGACGGUCUUGCUGUCACUUAUAGAUGGAUCCGCGCUGCAUUAGCUAGUUGGUAAGGUAACGGCUUACCAAGGCAACGAUGCAUAGCCGACCUGAGAGGGUGAUCGGCCACACUGGAACUGAGACACGGUCCAGACUCCUACGGGAGGCAGCAGUAGGGAAUCUUCCGCAAUGGGCGAAAGCCUGACGGAGCAACGCCGCGUGAGUGAUGAAGGUCUUCGGAUCGUAAAACUCUGUUAUUAGGGAAGAACAUAUGUGUAAGUAACUGUGCACAUCUUGACGGUACCUAAUCAGAAAGCCACGGCUAACUACGUGCCAGCAGCCGCGGUAAUACGUAGGUGGCAAGCGUUAUCCGGAAUUAUUGGGCGUAAAGCGCGCGUAGGCGGUUUUUUAAGUCUGAUGUGAAAGCCCACGGCUCAACCGUGGAGGGUCAUUGGAAACUGGAAAACUCGAGUGCAGAAGAGGAAAGUGGAAUUCCAUGUGUAGCGGUGAAAUGCGCAGAGAUGUGGAGGAACACCAGUGGCGAAGGCGACUUUCUGGUCUGUAACUGACGCUGAUGUGCGAAAGCGUGGGGAUCAAACAGGAUUAGAUACCCUGGUAGUCCACGCCGUAAACGAUGAGUGCUAAGUGUUAGGGGGUUUCCGCCCCUUAGUGCUGCAGCUAACGCAUUAAGCACUCCGCCUGGGGAGUACGACCGCAAGGUUGAAACUCAAAGGAAUUGACGGGGGCCCGCACAAGCGGUGGAGCAUGUGGUUUAAUUCGAAGCAACGCGAAGAACCUUACCAAAUCUUGACAUCCUUUGACAACUCUAGAGAUAGAGCCUUCCCCUUCGGGGGACAAAGUGACAGGUGGUGCAUGGUUGUCGUCAGCUCGUGUCGUGAGAUGUUGGGUUAAGUCCCGCAACGAGCGCAACCCUUAAGCUUAGUUGCCAUCAUUAAGUUGGGCACUCUAAGUUGACUGCCGGUGACAAACCGGAGGAAGGUGGGGAUGACGUCAAAUCAUCAUGCCCCUUAUGAUUUGGGCUACACACGUGCUACAAUGGACAAUACAAAGGGCAGCGAAACCGCGAGGUCAAGCAAAUCCCAUAAAGUUGUUCUCAGUUCGGAUUGUAGUCUGCAACUCGACUACAUGAAGCUGGAAUCGCUAGUAAUCGUAGAUCAGCAUGCUACGGUGAAUACGUUCCCGGGUCU